This 305-nucleotide ribosomal RNA is filed under the name uncultured bacterium. RNAcentral's name for it is "bacterial SSU rRNA". It matches the Rfam family "Bacterial small subunit ribosomal RNA", at positions 334 to 635 of the family's 1533-position model. The record is from RNAcentral.
UUUUCCUACGGGACGCAGCAGUGAGGAAUAUUGGUCAAUGGGCGCGAGCCUGAACCAGCCAAGUCGCGUGAGGGAGGACGGCCCUACGGGUUGUAAACCUCUUUUGCCGGGGAGCAACGGGCGUCACGUGUGGCGCCACUGAGAGUACCCGGAGAAAAAGCAUCGGCUAACUCCGUGCCAGCAGCCGCGGUAAUACGUAUGGUGCAAGCGUUAUCCGGAUUUACUGGGAGUAAAGGGAGCGCAGGCGGCACGGCAAGCCUGAUGUGAAAGCCCGCGGCCCAACCGCGGGACUGCAUUGGGAACGA